Molecule: long non-coding RNA, 4837 nt
Filed under: Prunus dulcis (almond)
Lineage: Eukaryota; Viridiplantae; Streptophyta; Magnoliopsida; Rosales; Rosaceae
Description: sRNA ncRNA
Source: RNAcentral
CUUCAACUUCUCUCUCUCGUCACCAUGCUUCUCUCCUUGUCGCCGCCUGUGUCGCUGGACGACCGCCAUCACGUCCGACGCCACCCUAAACCCUCAAUCUCUCACAGAUUCUCACUCAAUUCUCUCUCUUUCUCUCGUCGCCCCUCUGUUUCUCUCUGAAUUUCUCGACCCGACUGAAGGUAUGAUCUCAAUCUCUCUCUUCGAAACUCUCUCUUAACUCUCUCAACUGCCUCAGCUCAUUUAUAUUUGGGAUUUUUCAAAAAAUUAUGAAUUUGCUUGUACAUUGGAAAUUCUUGUUUUGAUAAUUGCUCCAAACAUUUGAAUUCGAACCCGUUUGAUCAUUUGCAUUCGAACCCGUUUGAUCGUUUGCAUUCAUGUAAAUGAUUUGAAUUGAAUCUCAUGACUGAAGAAAUUGAAUAAAUGUGACAGGCUUUGAUGUUAUUUUUGAAUAAAUGUCUUGGCUAUUUUAUUUUUUUAAUUUUUAAUUUUUAUUGGUAUUGUGAGUUGGAUUUCUCAUACUAGCUACAUUGUGCUGUUGGUUCUAUUUGAGUUUUUUUGUUAUGGAGAUAUCAUUUUGGGAGGUCUACCUUUCUUAUUGUAUUGAUUUUCCAUUUGUUUCAACUGAACAUCGAAUUAUUGAAGGAAAAAAAAGCUUUUUGUUGGGAAAGUUUCUUUAAAGGGUUAUCUCUGGAAACUUUAUGAUUCUCGAUAAAGUUUGAAUAUUUUUUUAAUAGAAAAUGUUUUCUUGAUUGACAUAACAGUGGGAAAUUGUUUCUGCCUUGAGAAACUAUUUCCUAAUAAAAUGUUGAGUAAAACUUUUGAACAAUUGAAAAAUAUCUUGUUUCAAACAAACAUCAAUACCGUUUUUGAAUGUAAAGAAAAUGGUUUCUUCUGGUUAAAGAUAGUGAUUACAUGAAAGUUGUCUUCUCUCUCUCUCCCUUUCUUCCUCUCUCGGAGUGGGGGGUGGGGGAGAGGGUGGGAGGACUAAUAUGAACACAAAUCCUUCAAGUGCAGCCUUUUUUCUUCCUGUUGUGUGUGUGUAAGAAUAGCCAUUUUUCCAGGAGUAUAGCAAUCCAGGGUGUACAUCAUGUAGUUGCAUAUAUCAUUUUUCUAGGAGUAUAGCGAUCCAGAGGGUACAGCCCGUAGUUUGUAUGUUAAACUGAAAAGAGCUGCAAAGCUUUAUCCUUUUAUCUUAAACAAAUGAAGCUAUUGCUUGCUGAUGGAACAUUGUUUCCAUAUUCCCUUUUUUAAUUUAUUGUUGAACAUUUUCUCUUUGAAAAUGUUCUGUUGCAGAACUCGGUGUUCAAGUUUGCAUCUUCACAGUAUAGAAGAAUAUAUAAAGCAAAAUCAAUGGCAAGGCGUGCCAUCGGUGAACAGCUGAUCAUUCCAAAUGAAAACUUGUACAUUCAACAUGCUUCUGUUAAUGUUGUAUUGCCAUCCUUUGAGGUGAACAUUUUUAAGCUCAAAGAAUAGUUGGAAAUUUUUUUGGGACCCAGGACCACUUUGCAUUUACUCAUGAUAUGCUAAAUUGGUGCAGAAUUUCUUUUGACAUUUAUCCUUUGACUGUCAGAUUUGUGCAUGUAUAUAAUUUUCUUUGUUAAGGAUGCCCUUUUUUGUAAGAAAAGUGAACGCAUCCUUUCUAAGGCUACCCAACAACGUAUGUCAACAAUAGGAACCGUCUGUAUUUAUCCUUGAAAAAAUCAUUCAAAACCCUUGUUGUUUGGUUAUCUAAAAUUUGCCUAAAAAACGCAGUUGGAUAAAACUGAAACAAAAAUGUGGAUAAUCAAAUGGUUAAACAAUUUCGGAUUCAACUGAUUUUUUGCGUGUACUUAAUAGGUCAGAAAUAGGAUGUACUUAAUUUAGGAAAAUGAGGACACCAGGACCAUAGAAAGCCUCUAUAUAUAUAUAUAUAUACAUAUCUUUCUACACCAUGGCUUUACCACAAAACAAUUUCUCUUACUAUGCACAAAACAAUUUCUCUUACUAAGCACGUACUUGUUUUGCAGAGCCUAAUGCCGGUGGGAAGAGCAAGUGUUCUAAAACAGCUACAAAGAUAGGUGGAGUGGGCUUUGAGAGUCGUAAAGCUCUUAAUGACAUUACAAACAAGAUUUUACCCAAGGAAGCUUCAUCAAAGAAAAAGACACUACCUAAGGAAGAUUUUAAUGUAGCUGAAGAAGUUUUUGCAUGAUCACGAAAAAUGUAUCAAAGCAAAGGAGCCGCGAUGAAUAAGUUUUACUUGGACACGGUCCUUCCAGUACAAGGUAGCUAUAUCUUGAAUCCUGAUAUUCAUUAACUUUUUGUCUUCUGUCAAUAUUGUAUAUUGUGGCAGAAUUUGUCUCAAAUUCAUUGUUGACUUCUGUUUCCUAUUUGAAAUACACUGUUAAGUGAAACUUUCAUAUUUCCUUAUAAAGAAGUUAUUCCUAUUCCUCAUUGGACUUUGGUUUAAAUGAGUCUAUAUAUGGCAUUAGGGUGUGGGUAGUUUUAGGCAACAUAUCAGAAAGUUUUUUUAAAUUUAAGACUGUAGAAGUGCUUGGGUGUUUUUGGGUUUUGGGUUUUGGGUUUUGAGCUUUGUAAUCUUCUUUUUGUUAUCAUAUUAGGUUGUGAGUGAGAGUAAAGUUACAACAUAAUUUCUUCUCUCUGUGAUUGAUAUUGAGCUUUGGUCGAUUAGUUCUCAAUGGUGGCAUUAAGUUUGAAAUAGGGAAGUUAGCAGAUGAGAUGUCUUCAGUAUAUGACAACUGCCAUGUCAAAAUGCAUGCUGAACUGGUGCAUUAGGCUUCGCUAAAACCCUGUACAUAAAGAUGAACUGCUAUGCAGAGAAGGAUGAAGCGUGGAUAAAUCAGUAGUUCAAUUCUUUUAUGUCUGAGAAAUGAGUUGUUGCGGGAGAGGCUGCUGAAAAAGAUAUGCCUGAUAGAUUAUGCAAAAAGUUAGAAAAUCGUUACAUUACUAAAUGGCUUAACAAAAUGUAAUAUAUAGAUGGGUCAGGAUUGAGGGACACACAAAAAGCCACAAAAUUUAACAGGUCAGGAUUGAGGGACACACAAAAAGCCACAAAAUUUAACACACUUUUGAAACUCUUAGAUCUGACCACUUUCUAUGGUUGGGAUGAAUGCUGACAUAACUUUUUCACUUAAAAAAAAAAUAUAAAACAAAAUACUACUACUCCUUUUUUGGGAAGAUGAAUUCAUGUUCUGAAAACUUCUUUAUCUCUCCUCUUUUGAUCUUCCGUUUCCCUCUCGUUAAUUUUGUUUUUUUUGGCCCAGAUCUGUCUUUUUCAUUGAAGCAAGUCAUUUUUCUCCUCUGCAACUCUCCUUCCAAUUUUCAUAGAAAAAGAAUAAGUUGUCUUAUUUUCUGAACCUAUAUUUUGACUAAGGGAAUAUUUUUCACCUACUCAGACUUUUUGAGUUUGAUACUUUUGGAUUGAACCUGAUAAAAAAUGGAGUCGUUUUGGCAAUUCAAUGGCUUGGCUUCCAACUUUGUAUACCAUCCAACCAAAAUUCGAUUUGAACCAACUCAUAUUGUAAUUUGUUACAAGAGACCUGAUGAGAGAAGAAAUUUUGAUACAGUAAAUGGUAAAGUAAAUUCUCUCAACAAUUUGAACUCAAAGGAUUCUCAUUUAAUGGGUUCCAUGAUGGGUGGGACUAUCUCAAAUUAAACUUGGUCUGGUAUAUAUCCUAGAGAUUGGGGGAUUUAUAGAUAGCUUGUAAAUCACAACAAUAGUAAUAUUCCCCCUUCAACACCAAUAUGGGAUAUAUGCUAGCGAUUAGAUUACAAAAAUAUAACAGUUGAACUUUAGAUAAACAUGAAAAUCCGAGAACUUGUAGCCCAAAAUCAUAUCCCCUAUUGGAUUUCAUUGAACAUGCAAAGGGAGAUUCUCACUAUAGUUAUCUUAAUUGGUGCAAUAAGAUAUUUUCCAAGCAUCUUAUUUACUAUGAUGGCUUCAAGUUAAGAGAAUAUUACAGAGGGAGUUGCGGAAGGAACAGAGCUGCACAGGGAGUAUGGGUUAUGAAGUCGUAGAGGAAGAGAGUGAAUUAGAUUGUUGGGAAAUAGACAUGAAAUCAAAUUAAAAAAGAGAGAUAAUCGAAAAAAUAAUUAAGAAUGAGAGAGAGAGAGAGAGAGAGAGAGAGAUAGAGAGAGGAGUUUUAGAAGUUUGUGUCAUGGAGGGCAGUGGAUUAUUGUUUUACCUAUUACAUGAACAUGGGACAACUGUUAUCCCCACAGUAUCUAGCACUGAUCUAGCCCUAGAUUAUUUAUUUAUUUAUUGCUUUAGAUGCUAGCCUUGCCUUUUUUCUAUGUUACUUAUCUGAUUUUUUGUGCUUUAGGAUGAUCUUGAUAGUCCUCCUUGCUAUCCUGAAAUAGAAGAGAUUCCUGAACCAGAAGAGUUGUCCUUUUUUCAGUGGCUUUCUCCUCCAUCUUCUCCACUACGUUGGGAGUCCCCGCCAUUCUCUCCUUUAGCAUUGCCACUUGAGGUGGUUGAAUUUGUGUUGAGGGAAGGAAAUGAUUGAAUAUGCCCCCAUAUGUUCAACCUUUCUUUCCGGAUGAAAUGUAAAUCAGAUUUAGUGUUGUUAUUCUUGAUGUCUCUUUCCACAUCAAAGAUUUUGUAUUCGUUCUCAACUGGAGCUGUUGGGUAAUGGGCGUUGGGGCUUGCUCAUUUAAGAAAGGGCCCUUUUGAACCUAUAUUCUUCACGUUCAAUUCCGUUCUUAAUUGAAUUGCUUCCAGAUAUUAAAGCUCUACCUGGAACAAACCUCUUCGAUUCACAUAGCUGGGGUUUUGUUUCGUUUUGAUUGUCUUUUCUCGGUCAAUUUUCGUUUUGAUUGUUAAACAUGUGUAUGUGUAUAU